GAUGAAGAACGUAGCGAAAUGCGAUACGUAGUGUGAAUUGCAGAUAAUGUGAAUCAUCGAAUCUUUGAACGCAAAUUGCACUCGAGGCUCCGGCCGAGAGUAUGUCUGCCUCAGCGUCGGCUUUACCCUCAUCCCUCCUCACCGGGAGGCGUGGACCUGGCCGUCCCGGUCAAUGUGACCGGGUCUGCCGAAGAACAGAGGCUCGAACGAGGACCCAAUCGGGACAACAGUCUGGUAGGUGACCCGCCAGGGAUCGCAUGCCGCUGUCGGCCCGGGACCUCGUUGUAAGCCGGCAGGAAUCGCCCGGUCGCUUUUUCUACAAAGAAGCGGCCGCGCGACACACCCUUUUCGACCUGAGUUCAGGCAAGAACACCCGCUGAACUUAAGCAUAUCAAUAAGCGGAGGA
RNAcentral lists this unclassified non-coding RNA (406 nucleotides) under soil metagenome. Its description in RNAcentral is "partial contains 5.8S ribosomal RNA, internal transcribed spacer 2, and large subunit ribosomal RNA". The stretch from base 1 to 119 matches the Rfam family "5.8S ribosomal RNA", at positions 35 to 154 of the family's 154-position model. The record is from RNAcentral.